CCAUUGUGGUCGGCACGGCCGUAAUCAUAGAUCGUAUCAUAGUUUGGCAAGCUUCAAAUGUGCCAUUAGUAUAGCAAGCUAUAAAUGUGCUAUUAGUUUGGCAAGCCAUAUAUUGCUGUUAUAAAUGAACUGGUCAUUCCACAUGGGUAGUCAAAAAUCCAUACUACACUCAAUAGAUGAAAGUUGGAACGACUUCAUA
Molecule: long non-coding RNA, 199 nt
Filed under: Carica papaya (papaya)
Lineage: Eukaryota; Viridiplantae; Streptophyta; Magnoliopsida; Brassicales; Caricaceae
Description: long non-coding RNA (CPAP_LNC005327)
Source: RNAcentral